This is a long non-coding RNA of Lampris incognitus (smalleye Pacific opah), 651 nucleotides long. RefSeq lists it as uncharacterized. The transcript has 3 exons. The record is from RefSeq and is a predicted model, not a curated record. NCBI's taxonomy places the organism in Eukaryota, Metazoa, Chordata, Actinopteri, Lampriformes, Lampridae.
GCUGCUGGCUGACAAUUAGCACAACAAACUCUGGGAGAUGGGAGCGCUGCGGUGUCUGAGGGACCACGACCGUCAGCUCAGAGACAUUUUCCACUCCGCAGGUCAUCCUCCUCUAACGGCGCCGUCUCAGCCCCCAGCCAGCUGCCAUGCUUCCUGCCGCCUCGCAUCGGACGGCUUGAUAGCGAUGACAUCACCAGUCGUGUUGUGGUACAUUCUCUGCCCCGCUGCCCUUCAUCACCUCUUACUUCGCCUGUGAGUAGGAGUUCGUCCACCUUGCUGGCCAGAGAGCGGACAUUCACCAGGUGAACUGACAGAAGCGCGGUUCGGAAUCCCCACUGUCGCAGUUUAACCAGCGCGCUGGCUCGCUUAACCCAUCGGCGUCUCCACCGGAGCCUGCACAGAGCUGCACCAGCCAAAAGCUUGGCAAGACUUUCCUUAAAACAUUCAGUUAACGUCGGUAAAUAAGUCUGUUUGUCAGUGGACAGCUGGAGGCUUAAAAGUUCUUCCCUGCUGGAUGUGGUCAGUGAGUGGGCGCUGGAAACUACUAGAGAAAGUACAAGAGAGUGUAGGACUGAGGCUACCAUCCAUGGUGCCAGUUUGAUGACUAUAAACGAUUAACAGGAGGAGGAGAAAGGAGGCGUGUUAGCUGAC